GGAUGCGAUCAUACCAGCAUUAAUGCACCAUGUCCCAGGAGAACUCUGUAGCUAAGCGUGCUUGGGCGAGAGUAGUACUUAGGUGGGUGACCUCCUGGGAAGUCCUCGUGUUGCAUCCC
This is a ribosomal RNA of Arabidopsis thaliana (thale cress), 119 nucleotides long. NCBI's taxonomy places the organism in Eukaryota, Viridiplantae, Streptophyta, Magnoliopsida, Brassicales, Brassicaceae. The record is from Rfam.